RNAcentral lists this ribosomal RNA (90 nucleotides) under Aspergillus fumigatus. Its description in RNAcentral is "partial 18S ribosomal RNA". The record is from RNAcentral. Lineage: Eukaryota; Fungi; Ascomycota; Eurotiomycetes; Eurotiales; Aspergillaceae.
GCGUACGAUUGACACGGGCACGAGGUUAGACCCAGAGAGCCCCCACUCGGUAAUGAUCCUUCUGUAGGUGAACCUGCGGAAGGAUCAUUA